GUUCUCAUGAGACCUAUAAGCCUUCUUAUCCUGAAUUAAGGGUAACGUGAAGUUGCAGGCUGCUAGAAGAGAUCCACAUUCCUCAGUUGUGCAGUGAGGUCAAAUAUCCUGUCUGGAACUGAUGACGUCAGGAGUCAAGCUUAAACUGACAGAUGCUUGAUCCAAGGAGAGAUGACCAUUAAAGGGACCACCAUGUUCUGGGCCAUCCUCAUACAGUGCCAAGUGUUCCUCAUGGAUCCGUGAUGUCUAUCAAAUACCUGAUCCACACGAUGAAAGCCUGAUACAGACACAACCAUGAUGUUUAAUCAACCAAAAACCAGCACAAUAACUUGUUAUACAGUUGCUGCACACAUUCUCCUGGGCCACAUACACAGAAAUAAAGUUGUUCUGAAACAA
Molecule: long non-coding RNA, 396 nt
Organism: Bombina bombina (fire-bellied toad)
Lineage: Eukaryota; Metazoa; Chordata; Amphibia; Anura; Bombinatoridae
Exons: 2
Source: RefSeq, a predicted model, not a curated record